GGGGGAAAAAUUAAUAAAAAUUAUAAUUAAUAAAAAAAAUUUUAUUAAAAAAAAAUAUUUAAUGGGGGUUAAAGUAUUUUUAAUAGAAUAAAAUUAAAAAAUUUAUAGUUAAAUAGUAUUGUAAAAGAAAUUUGAAAUAAAAAAUAAUUUAGUUAAAAGUAAAUUUAAAUUAUUGUAUCUUGUGUAUCAGAGUUUAUUAAAUAAAAUUUAUUAUUUAAAAAAAUCUCGAAUUUAAAAGAGUUAAUUAAUUAAAAAAGUUAAUGUUGAAUAAUUAUUUUAAAUAAUUAAUUAGAAAUGAAAUGUUAAUCGUUUUUAAAUAUAUCUAGUUUUUUUAGAAAAAAAUUUAAUUUUAAAUUUAAAUAAUUUUAUAAUUGAUUAAUUAAUUAUAAAAAUUUAAAAUUUUAUAUAUUAAGGGAUAAGCUUUAAAUUAAAUAAUUAUAAUUAUAUUUAAUUAAAUUAAAAUUUUUAAAAUUUAUAUUGUUUAAAAAUUAUAAUUUAUUAUAAAAAAUUUUAAUUUAAAUAAAAUUUAAAUUAAAAUUUAAUUUUUUAUAAAAAAAAAAUUUUUUAAUUGUAAAAAAUUAGAAAAUAUGAUAAAAUUAGUAUAAUAUAAUUAAAAAUAAUAAAUUUAUUUAAAAAUAAAUUAAAGGAAUUCGGCAAAAAUUUAUAUUCACUUGUUUAUCAAAAACAUGUCUUUUUGAAUAAUAAUUUAAAGUCUAAUCUGCCCACUGAUUGAUAUUAAAGGGCUGCAGUAUAUUGACUGUACAAAGGUAGCAUAAUCAUUAGUCUUUUAAUUGAAGACUUGUAUGAAAGAUUUGAUGAAAUAUAAACUGUCUCUAUUAUAUUUAUAGAAAUUAAUUUUUUAGUUAAAAAGCUAAAAUUAAAUUAAAAGACGAGAAGACCCUAUAGAGUUUUAUAAUUAAUUUAAUUAUAAUUAAAUAUAUAAAUAUUUAUUAAAAUUAAAUUAAUUAUUAUAUUGGGGUGAUAGUAAAAUUAAAAUAACUUUUAUUAAAAAUAAAACAUUAAUAGGUGAAUAAAUGAUCCAUUAAUUAGUGAUUAAAAGAAAAAAUUACCUUAGGGAUAACAGCGUAAUAUUUUUUUUUAGUACAAAUAAAAAAAAAAGUUUGCGACCUCGAUGUUGGAUUAAGAUAAAAUUUAAAUGCAAAAGUUUAAAAUUUUGAUCUGUUCGAUCAUUAAAAUCUUACAUGAUCUGAGUUCAAACCGGUGUAAGCCAGGUUGGUUUCUAUCUUUAAUUAAUUAUAAUAUUUUAGUACGAAAGGAUCAAAUAUUAAAAAUAAUUUUAAUAUUUAGAAGAAUAUUAUUAAUAAUAAUAUA
This 1332-nucleotide ribosomal RNA is filed under the name Timelaea maculata. RNAcentral describes it as "16S ribosomal RNA". Lineage: Eukaryota; Metazoa; Arthropoda; Insecta; Lepidoptera; Nymphalidae. The record is from RNAcentral.